GAUUAACGCUGGCGGCGUGCAUAACACAUGCAAGUCGAACGAUGAAACUCAUUAGAUUUCUUCGGAAUGAAAAUGAAUGGCUUAGUGGCGAACGGGUGAGUAACGCGUGAGUAACCUGCCUUACACAAGGGGAUAGCCUCUGGAAACGGAGAAUAAUACCCUAUGAAACCAGACAAUCGCAUGAUAAUCUGGUCAAAAUGUUUAGUGGUGUAAGAUGGACUUGCGUCUGAUUAGCUAGUUGGUGAGAUAAAAGCUCACCAAGGCAACGAUCAGUAGCCGGAUUGAGAGAGUGGACGGCCACAUUGGGACUGAGACACGGCCCAGACUCCGACGGGAGGCAGCAGUGGGGAAUUUUGCACAAUGGGGGAAACACUGAUGCAGCGACGCCGCGUGAUUUAGAAGGCCGUCGGGUUGUAAAAAUCUUUUGUAUAGGAAGAAAAUGACAGUACUAUACGAAUAAGGUCCGGCUAAUUACGUG
Molecule: ribosomal RNA, 478 nt
Filed under: uncultured bacterium
Lineage: Bacteria
Description: partial 16S ribosomal RNA
Rfam family: Bacterial small subunit ribosomal RNA
Source: RNAcentral